UCGCCUGUUUAUCAAAAACAUGUUUUCUUGAUUUAAAAUAGGAAAUUUGACCUGCCCACUGAAAAUAUUUUGAAGGGCCGCAGUAUUUUGACUGUGCAAAGGUAGCAUAAUCAUUAGUCUUUUAAUUGGAGGCUGGAAUGAAGGGUUGGACGAGGUAAAUACUGUCUUAAAUUAAUUAGUAUGAAUUUAGAUUUUAAGUUAAAAUACUUAAAUAAUAUUAAGGGACGAGAAGACCCUAUAGAGUUUAAUAUUUAUAAUUUUAAUUAAGUUAAUAAAAAAUUUUUGGUUAUUAUGAAAAAUUAUUUAGUUGGGGUGAUUAGAAGAUAAAUAAAACUCUUCUUUAAUUUAAAUAUUAUUAAUAAUUAAUUGAUCCAUGAAUAAUGAUUAAAAGAUUAAAUUACCUUAGGGAUAACAGCAUAAUUCUUUUUGAGAGUUCAAAUCGAGAAAAGAGAUUGUGACCUCGAUGUUGGAUUAAGAUAAAUUUUGGGUGUAGAUGUUCAAUAAUUAAGUCUGUUCGACUUUUAAAAUCUUACAUGAUCUGAGUUCAAACCGGAGA
Molecule: ribosomal RNA, 556 nt
Filed under: Deiphobe sp. MN265
Lineage: Eukaryota; Metazoa; Arthropoda; Insecta; Mantodea; Mantidae
Description: partial 16S ribosomal RNA
Rfam family: Bacterial large subunit ribosomal RNA
Source: RNAcentral